ACGCACGCUGGCGGCGUGCUUCACACAUGCAAGUCGCACGGAAAGGCCCUGCUUUUGUGGGGUGCUCGAGCGGCGAACGGGUGAGUAACACGUGAGUAACCUGCCCUUGACUUUGGGAUAACUUCAGGAAACUGGGGCUAAUACCGGAUAGGAGCUCCUGCUGCAUGGUGGGGGUUGGAAAGUUUCGGCGGUUGGGGAUGGACUCGCGGCUUAUCAGCUUGUUGGUGGGGUAGUGGCUUACCAAGGCUUUGACGGGUAGCCGGCCUGAGAGGGUGACCGGCCACAUUGGGACUGAGAUACGGCCCAGACUCCUACGGGAGGCAGCAGUGGGGAAUAUUGCACAAUGGGCGGAAGCCUGAUGCAGCAACGCCGCGUGCGGGAUGACGGCCUUCGGGUUGUAAACCGCUUUCGCCUGUGACGAAGCGUGAGUGACGGUAAUGGGUAAAGAAGCACCGGCUAACUACGUG
This 467-nucleotide ribosomal RNA is filed under the name uncultured bacterium. RNAcentral's name for it is "partial 16S ribosomal RNA". It matches the Rfam family "Bacterial small subunit ribosomal RNA", at positions 29 to 507 of the family's 1533-position model. The record is from RNAcentral.